CAGAAGCUGUUGGAGGCUGUUUUGCCACCACUUCCCAUGAACCCCGCUGAGCCUGUUCCUGGCAGCCUUGCUCCUGGUCCCUGCGAGCGGCUCCCUCACAGGCUGUUCCCACAGAAACCACCUGGGAACAUGCAAAGCAGGCGGCCCGACAGGACGGGGGGUCGGGGGGGCCUGCAGGUGAGCUGCCGGAGCUGCUGGCAGGACAGGGGGGCCUGCAGGUGAGCUGCCGGAGCUGCUGGCAGAGGCGCGCCCGGCCUCCCCGGUGAGGCAAGCACAGAGCAGGGGAUAAUUAGGGGAACAAAGAUAGAGCGGAUUGCAACACGGAGCUCCUGCGUGUUCCUUCCCAGGAGCUCGGGCAGCGCCGUGUUUCCGCCUUCACCCCGUCAGGGAGCGAGCGGGAGGCUCCCGGGAGGGUGUGGCGGAGGCAGCGAGGCCUCUUCCUGGACGAGACACAGGGGUACCGUCCCGGAUAAGGCGCCGCGUGAACAGCCGGCCGUCUCAGCGCGAGUCCCGGUGCUGAGCCCUGGAGGCUGACGGGUCUCCCCGACCAGCUCCCGAGCUCCACGCUGCAGAACCUUGGCCCCGCCCACUGGUCUCUGGGGCACCUUCUCCACACUGGCCUCGCUCUCCCCUCUGGACCCAAACGCAAGCUCGUUCCCUGAGAACAGAGAGGCCUCCCCGUCUGACCCAGCCCAGGGCCCACAGGACCGGCCCGUGUUCUGUGCUUUGGGGCAGGUGCCUGGCCCCCUGCAGGGGUUGCCCUUGUUCAACAGCCAACAGCUGGGGGUCCACUCAGCCCGACAGCGAGCACGUCAACCUCGUGGCCGCCCGCGCUCAGCCAAUAUGACGGGACGUAGAAACGUUUCAAUAAAAUUCCGUAACUUA
Myotis brandtii (Brandt's bat) is the source of this 885-nucleotide long non-coding RNA. RefSeq lists it as uncharacterized. The record is from RefSeq and is a predicted model, not a curated record. The transcript has 3 exons. NCBI's taxonomy places the organism in Eukaryota, Metazoa, Chordata, Mammalia, Chiroptera, Vespertilionidae.